CACGAGGGGUGCAAGCGUUGUUCGGAAUUACUGGGCGUAAAGAGUUCGUAGGCGGGAAGUCAAGUCAGAUGUUUAAUGUAGAGGCCUAACCUCUAUUCGGCAUUUGAAACUGGCUUUCUUGAAUAGGUGAGAGGUUGACGGAAUUCUUGGUGUAGCGGUGGAAUGCGUAGAUAUCAAGAAGAACACCGAUGGCGAAGGCAGUCAACUGGCGCCAUAUUGACGCUGAGGAACGAAAGUGUGGGUAGCGAACAGG
Molecule: ribosomal RNA, 253 nt
Filed under: uncultured bacterium
Lineage: Bacteria
Description: partial 16S ribosomal RNA
Rfam family: Bacterial small subunit ribosomal RNA
Source: RNAcentral